This 105-nucleotide non-coding RNA is filed under the name unclassified sequences. RNAcentral describes it as "Methylobacterium-1 RNA". It matches the Rfam family "Methylobacterium-1 RNA". The record is from RNAcentral. RNAcentral also lists the same sequence under 1 other name.
AAAGAUGGAAGGGGUAUUCAAAGAUUUCCACUCAGGACGAGGGAAGAAUUAACCCUCAAACGAUUAGGACUGUGAUUGCAUCUACACCUAGUCGUUACCGUAGUU